This 2352-nucleotide ribosomal RNA is filed under the name Triticum aestivum (bread wheat). RNAcentral describes it as "partial small subunit ribosomal RNA". Lineage: Eukaryota; Viridiplantae; Streptophyta; Magnoliopsida; Poales; Poaceae. The record is from RNAcentral.
AUGACCACACUUGAUCCAGAUCCCUUAUGGCUGUCAUUUCAUUAUCAUGAUGCGCCGCAUUGGCGCUUGAUUGACCCGCAUAUCGAUAUAUUUGUUACAAUUCUUAAUUCAAGUUUUAAGUUGGUCGGGCGUAAGGAUUUAAGUUGUACCACUACCAGCAAAGACAACCCCACUGACGAAAUGUCACGCUGCGAAGCCAUGGAGCCAACAAGUAUGCCGCUGAAGUUAUUAGAAAAAAUCACGAAUAAUUUCUCUGAGGAGCGAGUACUUGGACAUGGGGCCUAUGGAAAAGUUUACAGGGGUGUGCACGACGACAGAGGAGAUAUUGCAGUGAAGCUGCUUCAUAACAGCAUGCAAACAAUUGAUGACAAACAAUUCAUACAUGAGUUUGACAACCUUAUGAUGCUAAAGCAUCCUAACAUUGUACGGUUUGUUGGCUACUGCUAUGAAACACAACGUCAACAUAUACAGUUUGAAGGAAGAGUUGUUUUUGGUGAAACAACAUAUAAAGCACUUUGCUUCGAGUAUAUGCCAAAGGGAAGCCUUCAAAAGCAUCUGUCUGAUGAAUGUAAUGGACUUGAUUGGCAAACACGUUACAACAUUAUCAAAGGGGCAUGUGAAGGAUUAAAAUACCUUCAUGAAGGAUUCGAAAAACCAUUUUAUCAUCUUGACCUAAAACCAGAUAAUAUACUUUUAGAUGAAAACAUGACACCAAAACUGGCAGAUUUUGGUUUGUCCAAGCUCGUCGGUGAAGAACAAACCAGGAUAACACAAAGUCCUAUUGCAGGAACUCUUGGAUACAUGGCACCAGAAUACUUAUCUGAAAGCAAGGUCUCAAAGAAGUUAGACAUAUUUAGCUUGGGUGUUGUAAUGACCAAGAUAAUUGCUGGGCCUAACGGCCAGACAAUAUACGCUGAAAUUCCGUACAAACAGUUUCUUGAUCAAGUACAAGGAAAUUGGAGAAAAAGGUUGCAAACACCAUGGAGUUCUCCCGAGUCACUAGAGGCACUGUGCCAGCAAGUGAAAAGAUGCACUGAGAUUGCACUGACCUGCAUGGAGAUCGACAGACACAAAAGGCCUAGCAUAGUGGAUAUCAUACACGACCUUGACCAGACCGAAAAAAAUAUUGAAAAUAUUAAUUCUUAUGAACAAGAUCCAUCACCGCCACUUGAUUCCUCUUCAAAUGUUGUUGAACCUGUAGCAUCAGCUCCACCUACAACUCCAUCUCCACCACCUUUCCUAACCCAAUCUUAUAUUGGAUCUUCAACACCAUGUCCGCGUCCACCUCCAAAAAAUAGUCCGGUUAUGACGCCGCCACCACCACCACCACCAGUCCCACGCGGUGGCAUCAUGGAACUCUUCGGCACGUUCAUGCAUCGCAAGGCCAAGAUAUCCGGACAUGGUCAAAGGUUCACUUACAAUGAAUUGGCGUCAGCAACACAUGACUUCUCGAAAACGCAAAAGCUUGAAGAGGGUGCCUUUUGGACAGUCUAUAAAGGUACAUUAACGUUGCAAGACAAACAAGGUAAGAAACAAGAAGUGUCUGUGGCUAUAAAAAAGAAUAAACAUGGAAUGUCAGAUGAAGCCAGGGAAGCCUUUAAGAAUGAGAUUGAUAUUAUGAGCCCGCUGAACCACCACAAUAUUAUACGUCUUGUUGGUUGGUGUGACAAAAGGAACAAUCUCUUGCUUGUCUAUGAACUAUUGGAGGAUCGCAACCUUGAGGCUCAUCUUUACGGCCAUGGUGCUCAUAUGGAUGCGGAACAUUCUAGUGCAAGGUCUCCAGGUUCAGGUUUUGUUCUGGAUUGGCGCAAAAGGUACAACAUACUUAUUGGAAUAGCCUCAGGUCUUGAAUACCUCCAUACUAAAUGUAUGAAAUGCAUCUUGCAUAGGGAUAUCAAGCCAGAAAAUGUGAUGUUGGACAGUGGCUUCAAUGCUAAGCUGUGUGGCUUCGGGCUCGUGAUGCAACUCAACCAUGCCAUGACCUCGCGGUCGAUGGACAACAUCAUUAAGUCACAAGUCUACAUGGACCCAGCAUACCGGCAGAACGUUGGAGGAAAUAGGGAAUCUGAUGUCUACAGCUUUGGUGUGUUGUUGCUUGAGGUUAUAUGUGGCGUGAAACCAAAGCUUACCUCAAUUGAUAAAGGCACGAAAAAUAGCCUAGUCGAGAUGGUCCGGGAAUGUCAGGAGAGAGAUGCAAUUCUUGAUGCAGCUGACCAACGGUUGAGGGGCGAGUUUGACGAGGAAAUUAAAGGGGUGUUGUUUAUCGGGCUCCGGUGUGUCGAAACUAGACAUGGUGACCGUCCAACUAUCGAAAUUGUGUUGGACCGGUUAGUAAGCCUGACGGCUAAAUAG